This 468-nucleotide ribosomal RNA is filed under the name uncultured bacterium. RNAcentral describes it as "partial 16S ribosomal RNA". It matches the Rfam family "Bacterial small subunit ribosomal RNA", at positions 28 to 507 of the family's 1533-position model. The record is from RNAcentral.
GACGAACGCUGGCGGCGUGCUUAACACAUGCAAGUCGAACGGAAAGGCCCUGCUUUGGUGGGGUGCUCGAGUGGCGAACGGGUGAGUAACACGUGAGUAACCUGCCCUUUACUUUGGGAUAACUUCAGGAAACUGGGGCUAAUACCGGAUAGGAGCUCCGGCUGCAUGGGGGGGGUUGGAAAGUUUCGGCGGGUGGGGAUGGACUCGCGGCUUAUCAGCUUGUUGGUGGGGUAGUGGCUUACCAAGGCUCUGGCGGGUAGCCGGCCUGAGAGGGUGACCGGCCACAUUGGGACUGAGAUACGGCCCAGACUCCUCCGGGAGGCAGCAGUGGGGAAUAUUGCACAAUGGGCGGAAGCCUGAGGCAGCACCGCCGCGUGCGGGAUGCCGGCCUUCGGGUUGUAAACCGCUUUCGCCUGUGACGAAGCGUGAGUGACGGUAAUGGGUAAAGAAGCACCGGCUAACUACGUG